Molecule: non-coding RNA, 83 nt
Organism: Triticum aestivum (bread wheat)
Lineage: Eukaryota; Viridiplantae; Streptophyta; Magnoliopsida; Poales; Poaceae
Source: Rfam
UGUCCGGUGAUGAAAAACCUGUUAAUCAUACCAUCUUUCGGGACUGACUGGUUGCUAUGUGUCAUUCUGCAAUCGUGAGUACA